CAGUCGCCGCGGGAAUACGUAGGUGGCAAGCGUUGUCCGGAUUUAUUGGGCGUAAAGCGAGCGCAGGCGGUCAAUUAAGUCUGAUGUGAAAGCCCCCGGCUCAACCGGGGAGGGUCAUUGGAAACUGGUUGACUUGAGUGCAGAAGAGGAGAGUGGAAUUCCAUGUGUAGCGGUGAAAUGCGUAGAGAUGUGGAGGAACACCAGUGGCGAAGGCGACUCUCUGGUCCGUAACUGACGCUGAGGAGCGAAAGCGUGGGGAGCGAACAGGAUUAGAUACCCCUGUAGUCCCUGUCUCUUAUAC
RNAcentral lists this ribosomal RNA (301 nucleotides) under uncultured bacterium. RNAcentral's name for it is "partial 16S ribosomal RNA". It matches the Rfam family "Bacterial small subunit ribosomal RNA", at positions 509 to 807 of the family's 1533-position model. The record is from RNAcentral.